CGUAGGUGGCAAGCGUUGUCCGGAUUUAUUGGGUUUAAAGGGUGCGUAGGCGGCCCCAUAAGUCAGUGCUGAAAUAUCCCGGCUUAACCGGGAGGGUGGCAUUGAUACUGUGGGGCUUGAGUAAAGUUGAGGUUGGCGGAAUUGACGGUGUAGCGGUGAAAUGCUUAGAUAUCGUCAAGAACACCGAUAGUGUAGACAGCUAACUAAGCUUUAACUGACGCUGAGGCACGAAAGUGUGGGGAUCAAACAGGAUUAGAUACCCUGGUAGUCCACACUGUAAACGUUGAUUACUCGAUGUUGGCGAUACACAGUCAGCGUCUUAGCGCAAGCGAUAAGUAAUCCACCUGGGGAGUACGCCGGCAACGGUG
RNAcentral lists this ribosomal RNA (368 nucleotides) under uncultured organism. RNAcentral describes it as "bacterial SSU rRNA". It matches the Rfam family "Bacterial small subunit ribosomal RNA", at positions 526 to 896 of the family's 1533-position model. The record is from RNAcentral.